CGCCUAACACAUGCAAGUCGAACGAAGUAGCAAUACUUAGUGGCAGACGGGUGAGUAACAUGUAGGUAUCUGCCCUUUGGCCUGGAAUAACACGAGGAAACUUGUGCUAAUACCGGAUAAGUCUUUACGGAGAAAGCUUUAUGCACCAUUGGAUGAGCCUGCACUUGAUUAGUUUGUUGGUGGGGUAAAGGCCUACCAAGACUGUGAUCAAUAGCUGAUUUGAGAGGAUGAUCAGCCACAUUGGGACUGAGACACGGCCCAAACUCCUACGGGAGGCAGCAGUGGGGAAUCUUGCACAAUGGAGGAAACUCUGAUGCAGCGAUGCCGCGUGAGUGAAGAAGGCCCUUGGGUUGUAAAGCUCUUUCGUCGGGGAAGAAAAUGACUGUACCCGAAUAAGAAGGUCCGGCUAACUUCGUGCCAGCAGCCGCGGUAAUACGAAGGGACCUAGCGUAGUUCGGAAUUACUGGGCUUAAAGAGUUCGUAGGUUGUUGAAAUAGUUGGUGGUGAAAUCCCAGAGCUUAACUCUGGAACUGCCAUCAAAACUUUUCAGCUAGAGUAUGAUAGAGGAAAGCAGAAUUUCUAGUGUAGAGGUGAAAUUCGUAGAUAUUAGAAAGAAUACCAAAUGCGAAGGCAGCUUUCUGGAUCAUUACUGACACUGAGGAACGAAAGCAUGGGUAGCGAAGAGGAUUAGAUACCCUCGUAGUCCAUGCCGUAAACGAUGUGUGUUAGACGUUGGAAAUUUAUUUUCAGUGUCGCAGGGAAACCGAUAAACACACCGCCUGGG
This 784-nucleotide ribosomal RNA is filed under the name uncultured Pelagibacteraceae bacterium. RNAcentral's name for it is "bacterial SSU rRNA". It matches the Rfam family "Bacterial small subunit ribosomal RNA", at positions 45 to 877 of the family's 1533-position model. The record is from RNAcentral. Lineage: Bacteria; Pseudomonadati; Pseudomonadota; Alphaproteobacteria; Candidatus Pelagibacterales; Candidatus Pelagibacteraceae.